Molecule: ribosomal RNA, 166 nt
Filed under: uncultured bacterium
Lineage: Bacteria
Description: partial 16S rRNA
Rfam family: Bacterial small subunit ribosomal RNA
Source: RNAcentral
UAGGGAAUCUUCGGCAAUGGACGAAAGUCUGACCGAGCAACGCCGCGUGAGUGAAGAAGGUUUUCGGAUCGUAAAACUCUGUUGGUAGAGAAGAACGUUGGUGAGAGUGGAAAGCUCAUCAAGUGACGGUAACUACCCAGAAAGGGACGGCUAACUACGUGCCCAG